CUUAACAGUUAGCUGCGCGAGUGCUAAAUGUUGCUUUUAAUUAAACAAUAAAGAAUGCAACACCCUUUCUGGUAUCCUUAUAAAUUUUGAUGUGAUACAACAACUUGAUUCUUUAAAAAUUAAUUGCCUAGGAGUAUGUUUAAGUAGUAUUGAUUAUGUUAGUACCUCGUGUUGCUCUGUGAUACUUAACCCAACAUUUAAAAUAUCUUUUUUCCAUUAUAUGUUGUGAUGCAAGAAUAAAAGCAAAGUACAAAACAAAUAGGCACUUGAAUUCUAAUAGCAAUAAGCAAUAAAUGUCAGGCAUCUGGAAAUUAUGGUUGCAAUUUCAUCAGAGUACACUUUGUUCUUCUAUUAUGCCUGCAUGAAUUUUGCUACAGGCAAAAUCUAUUACAGAUAACAGUUAAGAACCUUUCUAAUCUACACAGAUAGUCAUGGCAAAAUGUUGGAAAACUAAAUGUUGGAAAAUGUAAUAUUGCAGGGGAAAAUUGACACUUGUAGAAAAUAAUGUGGGCCCAUUUAGAACCACAAAUGGUAAUCAUUUCUUUAAGAUCAUAGUGUGGUAGAGGUUUCUGAGCUGGGUGACCCAGUUGAAGGACACAGCCCUGGGAAUGAAUCCUGUGCUGCUGCCUGGGGUGUGCAUGUGCAGAAAACGUGUACCAACCUCCAUCAACGGUAGACUGCAGAGUUCAGCGCAUGCUUCCCAGAGAGUUCCUCCUUCCCUACUGGGCUUUAAGAAGCUUCUCAGGAGGGAAUUAACCCCUUGGGUCUCGGAUAAACACAUCUCUUGCGGGACAGUAACUGUCAAAAGCUGGUACUGACACUGGAGACAAAAGAACUUCUUGGGGAGCACAUGUCAUCCUUAUGCAGCUCUCGCAAACAUCUGAUCAUUUCUUGUUCCUGCUGUCAUUGGUGAUACUGAUUGUGGUGUUAUUGGGACUCUACCAGAGAAACAGAAUGAUCGGAUAUAUGUACCGACCGUCAAGGACACUUCCCAAAUCCCCACCUCCACCCAUGACAUCUAGAUGGGAGCAUGUGGCAGAUUGCAGCCAAUGGAAUAUAGGCAGAAGUGACAUACACAUCACCUCCAGAUCUGGCCAGAGAACCCUCUGUAGAUGCUCCCAACCCCUUUUCUUCCCCACAGCUGUGGGAUGA
RNAcentral lists this long non-coding RNA (1152 nucleotides) under Sus scrofa (pig). RNAcentral's name for it is "lncRNA (ENSSSCG00070014159.1)". Lineage: Eukaryota; Metazoa; Chordata; Mammalia; Artiodactyla; Suidae. The record is from RNAcentral.